AUACGGAGGAUCCGAGCGUUAUCCGGAUCUAUUGGGUUUAAAGGGUGCGCAGGCGGCCAUUUAAGUCAGCGGUUAAAUCGUGGGGCUCAACCCCAUUCUGCCGUUGAUACUGGGUGGCUUGAUUGCGGCCGAGGUUGGCGGAAUUCGUUGUGUAGCGGUGAAAUGCAUAGAUAUGACGAAGAACACCGAUUGCGUAGGCUGCUGACCAAAACGCAAAUGACGCUCAUGCACGAAAGUGCGGGGAUCGAACAGGAUUAGAUACCCUGGUAAGCCGAACAGUAAACGAUGAAUACUUGUUUUCGGCGAUAUACUGUCGGAGGCAAAGCGAAAGCGAUAAGUAUUCCACCUGGGUAGUUCGCUGGCAACGGUGAAACUCCAAUGAAUUGGCGGGG
Molecule: ribosomal RNA, 392 nt
Filed under: uncultured bacterium
Lineage: Bacteria
Description: partial 16S ribosomal RNA
Rfam family: Bacterial small subunit ribosomal RNA
Source: RNAcentral